UGAACGCUGGCGGCAUGCCUUACACAUGCAAGUCGAACGGCAGCACGGGUGCUUGCACCUGGUGGCGGGUGGCGAACGGGUGAGUAAUACAUCGGAACAUGUCCUGUAGUGGGGGAUAGCCCGGCGAAAGCCGGAUUAAUACCGCAUACGAUCUACGGAUGAAAGCGGGGGACCUUCGGGCCUCGCGCUAUAGGGUUGGCCGAUGGCUGAUUAGCUAGUUGGUGGGGUAAAGGCCUACCAAGGCGACGAUCAGUAGCUGGUCUGAGAGGACGACCAGCCACACUGGGACUGAGACACGGCCCAGACUCCUACGGGAGGCAGCAGUGGGGAAUUUUGGACAAUGGGCGAAAGCCUGAUCCAGCAAUGCCGCGUGUGUGAAGAAGGCCUUCGGGUUGUAAAGCACUUUUGUCCGGAAAGAAAUCCUUGGCUCUAAUACAGUCGGGGGAUGACGGUACCGGAAGAAUAAGCACCGGCUAACUACGUGCCAGCAGCCGCGGUAAUACGUAGGGUGCGAGCGUUAAUCGGAAUUACUGGGCGUAAAGCGUGCGCAGGCGGUUUGCUAAGACCGAUGUGAAAUCCCCGGGCUCAACCUGGGAACUGCAUUGGUGACUGGCAGGCUAGAGUAUGGCAGAGGGGGGUAGAAUUCCACGUGUAGCAGUGAAAUGCGUAGAGAUGUGGAGGAAUACCGAUGGCGAAGGCAGCCCCCUGGGCCAAUACUGACGCUCAUGCACGAAAGCGUGGGGGAGCAAACAGGAUUAGAUACCCUGGUAGUCCACGCCCUAAACGAUGUCAACUAGUUGUUGGGGAUUCAUUUCCUUAGUAACGUAGCUAACGCGUGAAGUUGACCGCCUGGGGAGUACGGUCGCAAGAUUAAAACUCAAAGGAAUUGACGGGGACCCGCACAAGCGGUGGAUGAUGUGGAUUAAUUCGAUGCAACGCGAAAAACCUUACCUACCCUUGACAUGGUCGGAAUCCCGCUGAGAGGUGGGAGUGCUCGAAAGAGAACCGGCGCACAGGUGCUGCAUGGCUGUCGUCAGCUCGUGUCGUGAGAUGUUGGGUUAAGUCCCGCAACGAGCGCAACCCUUGUCCUUAGUUGCUACGCAAGAGCACUCUAAGGAGACUGCCGGUGACAAACCGGAGGAAGGUGGGGAUGACGUCAAGUCCUCAUGGCCCUUAUGGGUAGGGCUUCACACGUCAUACAAUGGUCGGAACAGAGGGUUGCCAACCCGCGAGGGGGAGCUAAUCCCAGAAAACCGAUCGUAGUCCGGAUUGCACUCUGCAACUCGAGUGCAUGAAGCUGGAAUCGCUAGUAAUCGCGGAUCAGCAUGCCGCGGUGAAUACGUUCCCGGGUCUUGUACACACCGC
This 1365-nucleotide ribosomal RNA is filed under the name uncultured beta proteobacterium. RNAcentral describes it as "16S ribosomal RNA". It matches the Rfam family "Bacterial small subunit ribosomal RNA", at positions 30 to 1393 of the family's 1533-position model. Lineage: Bacteria; Pseudomonadati; Pseudomonadota; Betaproteobacteria. The record is from RNAcentral.